Molecule: ribosomal RNA, 369 nt
Filed under: uncultured bacterium
Lineage: Bacteria
Description: bacterial SSU rRNA
Rfam family: Bacterial small subunit ribosomal RNA
Source: RNAcentral
GUAGGGUGCAAGCGUUAAUCGGAAUUACUGGGCGUAAAGCGUGCGCAGGCGGUUGUGCAAGACAGAGGUGAAAUCCCCGAGCUUAACUUGGGAACUGCCUUUGUGACUGCACGGCUAGAGUGUGUCAGAGGGGGGUAGAAUUCCACGUGUAGCAGUGAAAUGCGUAGAGAUGUGGAGGAAUACCGAUGGCGAAGGCAGCCCCCUGGGAUAACACUGACGCUCAUGCACGAAAGCGUGGGGAGCAAACAGGAUUAGAUACCCUGGUAGUCCACGCCCUAAACGAUGUCAACUAGUUGUCGGGUCUUAAUUGACUUGGUAACGCAGCUAACGCGUGAAGUUGACCGCCUGGGGAGUACGGUCGCAAGAUUA